UAGGGAAUAUUGGACAAUGGGUGCGAGCCUGAUCCAGCCAUGCCGCGUGCAGGAAGACGGCCUUCUGGGUUGUAAACUGCUUUUGCCAGGGGAUAAAAAGUCCCUGCGGGGAAAAUUGAAGGUACCUGGUGAAUAAGCCACGGCUAACUACGUGCCAGCAGCCGCGGUAAUACGUAGGUGGCAAGCGUUGUCCGGAUUUAUUGGGUUUAAAGGGGGCGUAGGUUGUUUUGUAAGUCAGUGGUGAAAUCCGGCAGCUCAACUGUCGAUGUGCCAUUGAUACUGCAGAACUUGAGUACAGACGAGGUAGGCGGAAUUGACGGUGUAGCGGUGAAAUGCUUAGAUAUCGUCAAGAACACCGAUAGCGAAGGCAGCUUACUAGACUGUAACUGACACUGAUGCACGAAAGUGU
RNAcentral lists this ribosomal RNA (409 nucleotides) under uncultured Ohtaekwangia sp. RNAcentral's name for it is "bacterial SSU rRNA". It matches the Rfam family "Bacterial small subunit ribosomal RNA", at positions 355 to 762 of the family's 1533-position model. Lineage: Bacteria; Pseudomonadati; Bacteroidota; Cytophagia; Cytophagales; Fulvivirgaceae. The record is from RNAcentral.